UGCCCACAUAUGGUGUCCCUAUGGGUCCCUAUGGGGUCCUUAUGGGACCCUAUGGGGUCUAUAUGGGUCCCUAUGGGGUCCUUAUGGGGCCCUAUGGGGUCUAUAUGAGUCCCUAUGGGGUCCUUAUGGGGCACUAUGGGGUCCUAUGUCCACAUAUGGGGUCCUUAUUGCAGCCCAAUGGGGUCUAUAUGGGUCCCUAUGGGGUCCUUAUUGCAGCCAUGGGGUUCUUAUCGGGUCCCUGGGGUUCUUAUGGGGUCCCUAUGGGGUCUGUAUGGGGCCCUGUGGGGUCUAUAUGGGGCACUAUGGGGUCUGUAUGGGUCCUAUGGGGUCCUUAUGGGGCCCUAUGGGGUCUAUAUGGGUCCCUGUGGGGUCUAUAUGGGGCCCUUUGGGGUCUAUAUGGGGCCCUAUGGGGUCUGUAUGGGGCACUAUGGGGUCUGUAUGGGCCCUAUGGGGUCUAUAUGGGUCCCUAUGGGGUCUGUAUGGGGCCCUAUGGGGUCUGUAUGGGGCCCUAUGGGGUCCUGUGUCCACAUAUGGUGUCCCUAUGGGGUCCUUAUGGGGCCCUAUGGGGUCCUAUGCCCACAUAUGGGGUCUAUAUAGGUCCCUGUGGGGUCUAUAUGGGGCCCUAUGGGGUCCUAUGUCCACAUAUGGUGUCCCUAUGGGGACUGUAUGGGUCCCUAUGGGGUCUAUAUGGGGCCCUGUGGGGUCUGUAUGGGGCCCUAUGGGGUCCUAUGUCCACAUAUGGGGUCCCUAUGGGUCCCUAUGGGGUCCUUAUGGGGCCCUAUGGGUUCUAUAUGGGUCCCUAUGGGGUCCUUAUGGGGCCCUAUGGGUCCCUAUGUGGUCUAUAUGAGUCCCUAUGGGGUCCUUAUGGGGCACUAUGGGGUCCUAUGUCCACAUAUGGGGUCCUUAUUGCAGCCCUAUGGGGUCUAUAUGGGGCCCUAUGGGUCCUUAUGGGUCCCUAUAUGUCUAUAGGGUCCUUAUGGGCUCUCUAUAGGGUCCCUAUAUGCCUAUAG
This 1010-nucleotide long non-coding RNA is filed under the name Coturnix japonica (Japanese quail). Its description in RNAcentral is "lncRNA (ENSCJPG00005001550.1)". Lineage: Eukaryota; Metazoa; Chordata; Aves; Galliformes; Phasianidae. The record is from RNAcentral.